CCUACGGGUGGCCGCAGUGAGGAAUAUUGGUCAAUGGGCGUAAGCCUGAACCAGCCAAGUCGCGUGAGGGAUGAAGGUUCUAUGGAUCGUCAACCUCUUUUAUAAGGGCAUAAAUUGUGGGACGUGUCCUAUUUUGUAUGUACCUUAUGAAUAAGGAUCUGCUAACUCCGUGCCAGCAGCCGCGGUAAUACGGAGGAUCCGAGCGUUAUCCGGAUUUAUUGGUUUUAAAGGGUGCGUAGGCGGCCUUUUAAGUCAGCGGUGAAAGUCUGUGGCUCAACCAUAGAAUUGCCGUUGAAACUGGGGGGCUUGAGUAUGUUUGAGGCAGGCGGAAUGCGUGGUGUAGCGGUGAAAGGCUUAGAUAUCACGCAGAACCCCGAUUGCGAAGGCAGCCUGCCAAGCCAUGACUGACGCUGAUGCACGAAAGCGUGGGGAUCAAACAGGAUUAGAUACCCCAGUAGUC
RNAcentral lists this ribosomal RNA (460 nucleotides) under uncultured bacterium. RNAcentral's name for it is "partial 16S ribosomal RNA". It matches the Rfam family "Bacterial small subunit ribosomal RNA", at positions 338 to 795 of the family's 1533-position model. The record is from RNAcentral.